GAAGCACUUAGCCAUAAAAUUAUAGACUAUUUAAGGGAAAAGGGAGGUGCAAGGAGGGAGAUCUGAGAACUUCCUAAUCAUCCAAACUGUCCAGCAAUAGAAUGGCAAGCCCAGAUAAGGAAACUGAGAUGCAGAGGUUCACAGCUGGCAUGAGGACCAUGUGUCCCGAAAUGUGAAGCACACAACGUGGCCUUAGAUGCCAUCAGUGCACACGCAGAGAGUGAUUCUUUUCUGACUCCCGUUGAACCGUCCUUUCUGAUUACAUCCAGGGAGGAAGGCUUGGUGCGGCGCUGGGCAUCUGGCACACUUCGCUAAACCCUGCAGGCCUCCCUGGCAAUGACUUGGCUGGCCUGGCGCCCUGGGCAGCCUCAGUGUCGGGGUGGAUUGUGAUGCACGUGGUUUUCUGGGCACUGCUGCGUUCUACUUGCGCACAGUGUACCAGUGCCCUUUCCAGCAGAGAUAUGAAUGAAGUCUUCUAAAUUUUUUAAUGACCUUAAGUAAAGAAUGAAUAAAUGACAA
Molecule: long non-coding RNA, 519 nt
Organism: Lagenorhynchus albirostris (white-beaked dolphin)
Lineage: Eukaryota; Metazoa; Chordata; Mammalia; Artiodactyla; Delphinidae
Exons: 3
Source: RefSeq, a predicted model, not a curated record